Molecule: transfer RNA, 77 nt
Filed under: Metamycoplasma arthritidis
Lineage: Bacteria; Bacillati; Mycoplasmatota; Mycoplasmoidales; Metamycoplasmataceae
Also listed under: 1 other name
Description: Mycoplasma arthritidis tRNA-Arg(acg)
Rfam family: tRNA
About the family: Transfer RNA (tRNA) molecules are approximately 80 nucleotides in length. Their secondary structure includes four short double-helical elements and three loops (D, anti-codon, and T loops).
Source: RNAcentral
GCGCCCGUAGCUCAAUUGGACAGAGUGCUUGGUUACGGCCCAAGAGGUUGCGGGUUCGACUCCUACCGGGCGCGCCA